This is a long non-coding RNA of Vespula pensylvanica (western yellowjacket), 248 nucleotides long. RefSeq lists it as uncharacterized. The transcript is spliced from 2 exons. The record is from RefSeq and is a predicted model, not a curated record. Lineage: Eukaryota; Metazoa; Arthropoda; Insecta; Hymenoptera; Vespidae.
AUAUAUAUAUAUAUAUAUAUAUAUUGAGAGAAAGAGAAGAAAAGAGAUUGUUAAAUAAAUUAUGAAAAUCUUCUCAGACCAAAUCCAGAAGGCUUAUUAAAAAGAACGUUGAUAAAUCCUAGGAAUAAUUCCUUAUAAGAAUAAUCGAUAUUUAUUGAGGACUAUUGAGAAGAGAUAUGGAGAGAAGUAUGUAAUCACAUAAUGUUAAUGUAGAAAAGAUAAGAAAUAAAAUUGAGUACUGAAAGGAA